RNAcentral lists this unclassified non-coding RNA (357 nucleotides) under Hevea brasiliensis (rubber tree). Lineage: Eukaryota; Viridiplantae; Streptophyta; Magnoliopsida; Malpighiales; Euphorbiaceae. The record is from RNAcentral.
GAUUUCUUUACAAGACUAAGCAAGACUCCAGCGCUUAGGCAUGUUGCUACGACACCAAGAGACGCCUCUGUGGAAACAUGGUAUCCGAAAAAGUCUAGGAUCAUUUUGAUUCCAAUGAAUCCCAGGACAACACCAAUGGAAGGCUGUAGAUAUUCCAACUCCCCCAUACUUUCAGAAAUGAGUGUGUACAAUGACCUCAAUCCUAAAAUUGCAAAGAGAUUGGAUGUGAAAACUAUGAAAGGAUCUCUUGUGACACCAAAAACUGCUGGUAUAGAAUCAACAGCAAAUGCAAUAUCACUGAGUUCAAUAACCGCUACUGUAAGAAGUAAAGGUGUAGCUUUCCAUACACCAUCCUGC